This 390-nucleotide ribosomal RNA is filed under the name uncultured bacterium. RNAcentral's name for it is "bacterial SSU rRNA". It matches the Rfam family "Bacterial small subunit ribosomal RNA", at positions 28 to 408 of the family's 1533-position model. The record is from RNAcentral.
GAUGAACGCUAGCGACAGGCUUAACACAUGCAAGUCGAGGGGCAGCGAGGGCGUAGCAAUACGCCUGUCGGCGACCGGCGCACUGGUGAGUAACACGUAUGCGACCUGCCCCCUACAGGGGUAUAACCCCGUAGAAAUGCGGACUAAUCCCCCAUAGUCCUGGGUGCUGCAUGGCAUUCAGGGGAAAGGCCAGCCGGUAGGGGAUGGGCAUGCGGCGCAUUUAGCUAGUUGGCGGGGCAACGGCCCACCAAGGCGACGAUGCGUAGGGGUUCUGAGAGGAAGGUCCCCCACACUGGUACUGAGACACGGACCAGACUCCUACGGGAGGCAGCAGUGAGGAAUAUUGGGUCAAAUGGGCNCAGGCCUGAACCAGCCAAGUCGCGUGAGGGA